AGCUUUGCGCAGUGGCGACAUCGUAACCAAUGAGGUUUAUCCGAGGUGCGAUUAUUGCUAGUUGAAACUUAUUCAAAUUUUUUAUAAGCCAAAAAUGACUCAAUGAUAAUUUAGUACAAUAUUUUUGGAUUGGUAAAAAUGAC
Molecule: small nuclear RNA, 143 nt
Organism: Diabrotica virgifera virgifera (western corn rootworm)
Lineage: Eukaryota; Metazoa; Arthropoda; Insecta; Coleoptera; Chrysomelidae
Product: U4 spliceosomal RNA
Exons: 1
Source: RefSeq, a predicted model, not a curated record